Molecule: ribosomal RNA, 429 nt
Filed under: Pseudomonadota bacterium
Lineage: Bacteria; Pseudomonadati; Pseudomonadota
Description: Proteobacteria bacterium partial 16S ribosomal RNA
Rfam family: Bacterial small subunit ribosomal RNA
Source: RNAcentral
UGGGGAAUAUUGGACAAUGGGCGAAAGCCUGAUCCAGCCAUGCCGCGUGUGUGAAGAAGGUCUUCGGAUUGUAAAGCACUUUAAGUUGGGAGGAAGGGCAGUAAGCGAAUACCUUGCUGUUUUGACGUUACCGACAGAAUAAGCACCGGCUAACUCUGUGCCAGCAGCCGCGGUAAUACAGAGGGUGCAAGCGUUAAUCGGAAUUACUGGGCGUAAAGCGCGCGUAGGUGGUUCGUUAAGUUGAAUGUGGAAGCCCCGGGCUCAACCUGGGAACUGCAUCCAAAACUGGCGAGCUAGAGUAGGGCAGAGGGUGGUGGAAUUUCCUGUGUAGCGGUGAAAUGCGUAGAUAUAGGAAGGAACACCAGUGGCGAAGGCGACCACCUGGGCUCAUACUGACACUGAGGGGCGAAAGCGUGGGGAGCAAACAGG